This is a long non-coding RNA of Solanum dulcamara, 1256 nucleotides long. RefSeq lists it as uncharacterized. NCBI's taxonomy places the organism in Eukaryota, Viridiplantae, Streptophyta, Magnoliopsida, Solanales, Solanaceae. The record is from RefSeq and is a predicted model, not a curated record. The transcript is spliced from 3 exons.
UCCCAUUAGUUCUCUAGAAUACUUUCGACAUUUCCCGUUUACCUUAAUUGACAUUGGAAGCCUCUAUAGAUCUGUAAAACAAUAGAGCUAAAGGAUUCUAACUAUAUGAAUGUUCCAUAUAACUACAUGUCUCUUAUGUUAUUACCAUACGGUCGUCUUUGCUUAUUGUCUUUCAUCUCUUAAUAGAGCUUUUGCACCUACACAAUUAAUUUCAACAGUUUUCCUCUACUGCCUUAUAAGUUGUGCACAAUGCUGCCUCAACUGCGCACCAUCCAGUUAUGCUAUUUUCAUACAGUUUAACCAGGUUUAUAUGACUAAUAUAACCACAAAGCUCUUACCUGAAAAAGCAAAAGAAUAAAGUAUGAUUACACGUUUGAUCUUACCUCUUUUUUUUUAAGGAUCUUGGGCAUAAAUGACCUCCAGAACUUCAUAGCUUUCAUUUCACUUUUUAAAAUUACUUUUUUAUACAUGCUUAGAUUCUAGGAACUCUAUGCAUAUUUGGAAUAAUGUCAUGUAUUUCCUGUUAUUGCAUUAUGGCCGUCUUUGUUUAUUGUAGUUCAUCACUUGUCCAUUAAUUAGGACUGAUACAAUUAAUACCACGAGCUCGCCUUUGUUUUCUUAGAAGGUGUGCAUCAUGCCGUCCAAAAUCCCUACACACCAUCCAGUUAAAAGGAAACCACUGAUAUACUUGAGCCGCCCCUAUUUAUUAUCUGUCAACUUAAGGACAGCACACUCAUCAUUGUUGAUUUUCACACAAGUAUACACAUAGCUGACAAGUUCUGAUCUGGGCACAUGUAAACUGCAGGUGAUAAAAAAAAUUCAUCACAAGGCCAAGGAUAAUGUUACCAUUCUCAAAAGAAAAAAACCAAGGAUAUUUGAGGAGUGCACAUAUUCAAAGGAUAAAUAAGUGAUUUUGUUCUUGGAUAUGAAAUCAUUGAGGAAUACAAGGUUAAUUCACCUUGUUCUAUUUUAUAACCUGUCUGGAUUUACUCCUUUCUAUAGAAAAAUUAGUUCAUUUUCUCAUCAAGGAAAAAACAGAUAGAGAAAGAGAGCGAUGUACCUCUUGCCUUUCCUUUCUUUGAUUUGCCUUCUAUUUUAUUAUGUCACUGUGAUUCUCCAUGAGUCGACAACAAUUGUGCCAUGUCAAAAUUCAUAGCCAAUUAUGAACCAAAUCAAUUGUGUGAGGAUGACCGAGAAGCAUUACUGAUAUUUUGGCCUUGUGUACUUUGAUAUUUAACUGUAUGACUGUAACGUUA